RNAcentral lists this long non-coding RNA (918 nucleotides) under Helianthus annuus (common sunflower). The record is from RNAcentral. Lineage: Eukaryota; Viridiplantae; Streptophyta; Magnoliopsida; Asterales; Asteraceae.
GUCAUUAUUGUGUAGAAAAAAUGCUAUCAUUUUCCCUUAUUUAUUUUGCAUAUAUUAUUUGUGACAGAUUUGUGACGCAACUGUCAAUUAAAAAGGGUUUUCUUAUUUUUUGUAGGAAACUUGUCACAAGUUGUGACGAAAUUCCGACGGAUGGUUUAAGUUAAUUAAAAAAUAAAUAUUUCGUCAUAAAUGUGUAGGAAACGAUAUAAUUUAUGACAGAUUUGUAACGCAACUGUCAAUUAAUUAGGGUUUUCUUAUUUUGCGUCACAAAUUUGUAGGAAACGAUAUUAUUUUCCCUUAUUUAUUAGGCUUAUGUAAAUAUUUAUUCGGUAAAGAAUAAUAAUUAACCUUUUGUAGGUUAUUUCUGACAGAUUUGUGACGCAAGUGUCAAUUAAUUAGGGUUUUCUUGUUUUUCGUCAUGGAUGCAUCGAAAAUUUGUAACAAAAUCAUGAAAUUUUUUUUUGUAGGAAAUUCGUCAUAAAGGUGUUGUAAUCUGUGACGAAAAAAAUUGUGUAGGAAAUUUCUGUAGCAAAUUGUCCCCUUUUCUAGUAGUGACUUAAGCCAUAUGCUGAUGACAUUGUGAAAAAAUGUGAUGGAUUGCCUUUGGCAUUGAUCGCACUUGGGAAAUCACUGAACACAAAAGAAGAUGAAGCUUCAUGGAAGAAAGUGUUAGAAAGUGAGAUUUGGCAAUUACCGGCUGAAGGUGCAGCCCUAAGAGUAAGCUAUGAUGAUCUUUCUACACCUUUGAAGCAGUUGUUUGCAUACUGCUCCUUGUUCCCCAAGGGUUACAUGUUUGACAAGGAUGAAUUAGUUGCAUUAUGGAUGGCAGAAGGCUUUGUGAACGAGUCAACUUCAAACGAUAAAAUAGAAAGCUUAGGUCAUAAAUACUUUGACGAGUUGUUGUCAAGAUCAUUUUUU